UACGAGUGCUCCAAGCGUUAUCCGGAAUCAUUGGGCGUAAAGGGUGUGUAGGCGGCUGUGUUAGUCUUCCGUUAAAUUCUUCGGCUUAACCGGGGGCAUGCGGAAGAAACGGCACAACUAGAGGAUGCGAGAGGUGAAUGGAACUCAUGGAGUAGGGGUGAAAUCCGUUGAUAUCAUGGGGAACACCAAAGCGAAGGCAAUUCACUGGCGCACUCCUGACGCUGAAACACGAAAGCGUAGGUAGCGAAAUGGG
This 253-nucleotide ribosomal RNA is filed under the name uncultured bacterium. RNAcentral describes it as "partial 16S ribosomal RNA". It matches the Rfam family "Bacterial small subunit ribosomal RNA", at positions 524 to 777 of the family's 1533-position model. The record is from RNAcentral.